RNAcentral lists this transfer RNA (75 nucleotides) under Chloroflexota bacterium. RNAcentral describes it as "tRNA-Pro". It matches the Rfam family "tRNA". From Rfam's summary of the family: Transfer RNA (tRNA) molecules are approximately 80 nucleotides in length. Their secondary structure includes four short double-helical elements and three loops (D, anti-codon, and T loops). Lineage: Bacteria; Bacillati; Chloroflexota. The record is from RNAcentral. RNAcentral also lists the same sequence under 2 other names.
CGGGGUGUAGCGCAGGGGUAGCGCGCUGCGUUCGGGACGCAGAGGCCGAAGGUUCAAAUCCUUUCACCCCGACCA